UGGGGAAUCUUGGACAAUGGGCGCAAGCCUGAUCCAGCCAUGCCGCGUGAGUGACGAAGGUCUUCGGAUUGUAAAGCUCUUUUGGCGGGGACGAUAAUGACGGUACCCGCAGAAUAAGCCCCGGCUAACUUCGUGCCAGCAGCCGCGGUAAUACGAAGGGGGCUAGCGUUGUUCGGAAUUACUGGGCGUAAAGCGCACGUAGGCGGAUCUAUAAGUCAGGGGUGAAAUCCCGGGGCUCAACCUCGGAACUGCCUUUGAUACUGUAGAUCUCGAGUCCGGAAGAGGUGAGUGGAAUUCCUAGUGUAGAGGUGAAAUUCGUAGAUAUUAGGAAGAACACCAGUGGCGAAGGCGGCUCACUGGUCCGGUACUGACGCUGAGGUGCGAAAGCGUGGGGAGCAAACAGGAUUAGAUACCCCUGUAGUCCCUGAGCGGGCUGGCAAGGCGCAU
Molecule: ribosomal RNA, 447 nt
Filed under: uncultured bacterium
Lineage: Bacteria
Description: bacterial SSU rRNA
Rfam family: Bacterial small subunit ribosomal RNA
Source: RNAcentral